RNAcentral lists this long non-coding RNA (721 nucleotides) under Vigna radiata. RNAcentral describes it as "long non-coding RNA (VRAD_LNC001815)". Lineage: Eukaryota; Viridiplantae; Streptophyta; Magnoliopsida; Fabales; Fabaceae. The record is from RNAcentral.
GUCACAAAAUUUAGCACCAUUUUUUUUAAUUUUAACCUUUUUAUUUUAAAAAAAAUACUUUUUAUUGAACAUCUUUUGUUUCUUUCAAAAAUUGAGAAUGCAGCAAAAAAAUAAAACAACAUGGUAAUAAAGACUAAAAGAAACAAAAUACAAUAGCAAUAAAUAAAACAAAAUAAUUAGUAAGAAAAGGAGUGAUAUAAAAACCAGGGAUGAGUGCAACACGAAGCCCUUUUCCUUCUUUUCCCUUACGUUCUCUUUUCGAAAUUGGAUUUUUCUCUUCCUCUCUUUUUUUUCCCUUAUGCCCUCUUUUUGAAAUUGAAUUUUUUUCUCUCUCUUUUAUUUUGUUCCCUUAUGCUCUCUUCUUGAAAUUCAAUCCUCUUCCCCNUUCUUGUUUGCUAGGUGCCUAUUUAUAUACACACAUUUGUAAUAUUAUUGUGAUNCUGCCUUAAUGACGAAUUAAUUGUCAAUUAGCAAAAUAGGGAAAUAAAUGGUCUUGAUUGAAUUAAAUUUAAAAACAUAUUUUUCUCUUUAGGAAGAAAUUGAAUACAACAAUCAAUAUAUUAUUUUUAAUUAUUCCUUGCAAUGAUUGUCAUAAUGUUGAUUCGAAUUAUUACCAAAUAAAACCAAAUUUCGAAAAUAUUCCAAAGUGAUCUGUCCUGCAUUAAUAUUAAUUGCUUAUGGGUCUNUUGCACCAUUUUUCCAAGAAAAUCACGUGGAGCAC